Molecule: ribosomal RNA, 243 nt
Filed under: uncultured Clostridia bacterium
Lineage: Bacteria; Bacillati; Bacillota; Clostridia
Description: partial 16S ribosomal RNA
Rfam family: Bacterial small subunit ribosomal RNA
Source: RNAcentral
CACGCUGUAAACGAUGGAUACUAGGUGUGGGGGAGAUACUACCUCUGUGCCGCAGCAAACGCAAUAAGUAUCCCGCCUGGGGAGUACGGCCGCAAGGCUGAAACUCAAAGGAAUUGACGGGGACCCGCACAAGCAGCGGAGCAUGUGGUUUAAUUCGAAGCAACGCGAAGAACCUUACCAAGGCUUGACAUCCCUUGACGUGCAUAGAAAUAUGCAUUCCCUUCGGGGCAAGGAGACAGGUGG